AAUUCGGCUUAGAGUUGAUCAUGGCUCAGGAUGACGCUGGCGGCGUGCCUAAUACAUGCAAGUCGAACGAAACUUCUUUAUCACCGAGUGCUUGCACUCACCGAUAAAGAGUUGAGUGGCGAACGGGUGAGUAACACGUGGGCAACCUGCCCAAAAGAGGGGGAUAACACUUGGAAACAGGUGCUAAUACCGCAUAACCAUAGUUACCGCAUGGUAACUAUGUAAAAGGUGGCUAUGCUACCGCUUUUGGAUGGGCCCGCGGCGCAUUAGCUAGUUGGUGAGGUAAAGGCUUACCAAGGCAAUGAUGCGUAGCCGAACUGAGAGGUUGAUCGGCCACAUUGGGACUGAGACACGGCCCAAACUCCUACGGGAGGCAGCAGUAGGGAAUCUUCCACAAUGGGCGAAAGCCUGAUGGAGCAACGCCGCGUGGGUGAAGAAGGUCUUCGGAUCGUAAAACCCUGUUGUUAGAGAAGAAAGUGCGUGAGAGUAACUGUUCACGUUUCGACGGUAUCUAACCAGAAAGCCACGGCUAACUACGUGCCAGCAGCCGCGGUAAUACGUAGGUGGCAAGCGUUAUCCGGAUUUAUUGGGCGUAAAGGGAACGCAGGCGGUCUUUUAAGUCUGAUGUGAAAGCCUUCGGCUUAACCGGAGUAGUGCAUUGGAAACUGGGAGACUUGAGUGCAGAAGAGGAGAGUGGAACUCCAUGUGUAGCGGUGAAAUGCGUAGAUAU
Molecule: ribosomal RNA, 730 nt
Filed under: uncultured bacterium
Lineage: Bacteria
Description: bacterial SSU rRNA
Rfam family: Bacterial small subunit ribosomal RNA
Source: RNAcentral